Chelonia mydas (Green sea turtle) is the source of this 6587-nucleotide long non-coding RNA. RefSeq lists it as uncharacterized. The transcript has 3 exons. The record is from RefSeq and is a predicted model, not a curated record. Lineage: Eukaryota; Metazoa; Chordata; Testudines; Cheloniidae.
GCAGGAGCAGCAGCAGCUGCGCAGGGCACCAGGAAAUGUGGUGCCCCAAAUUCCCUGGUGCCCUACGCAGCUGCGUACUUUGCGUAUAGGUAGGGAUGGCCCUGGCUCCAAGGCCCCACCCCAGCUCGGCCUCUUCCCCUUAAGGUCCUGCCUGCUACGCACACAUGGGGGAGGGGGUGGAGAGGAGCGAGGUGGGGAGGCGUCAGAGAGCAGCGAGUGGCGGGUAGGGGCUCAGGGGGAAGAGGCCGUGAAGGGGCCUCAGGGAAGAGCGCAGGCGGAGCAGGGGGGUGAGGCCACGGUGUGGGCGCCGGGGCCCCUUUUGAGUGUGGGCUUGGCACCAGUGGCGCCAUUGUAAAGCUGGUACUGCUGGGAGGAGGAGGCUGCAGGGAAAAGCUCCAGCAGCUCUCCGCUGCUGGAACAUUUCCCUCCUUCCUCCCCAGGCCAGAGCCUUUCACUGACACAUGUCACUAUAUACCACAGUAUGGCUGCAGCUUGCUUUUCACUGUGGCAUGUAGCUACACGUACCCUACAUGGUGCCACCAGUGGUGUGCUGGGUAAACAUACAGUGACUUAUAUGGAGUUCUAGACUCCUCAUCCCCUUGUGGGGCAGUGGAAGGCACCUCCAAGCACAUAGUUGAUGUGAAUUGCAAGGAAAUCUCUGGGUCUCUCAGCAACUACGCGGCUAGUAGAGUUGAGCGAAAUUUGGGGGAAACUGACAUUUCAGCAUUUGUUUUCAUCUCAAAACAGUUGACAUUUCAAAACUUUUUGUGGAAUGGAAAUUCUGAAACAUUACAGUUCAGAGAUGUUGAUACAUUUUGUUUUGACAUUUUUGAUCAACACAAAACAUUUCAGCAUUCACAAUAUUAAAAUGUUUUGUUUCACUUUAUUGAAAUGUCCCAAAAUGCUUUGUUUUGAGUCAUUUCAACAUUGAAUUUGCAUUUCCUUAUGGUGCAUUAUGGGAGUUGUGAUCCCAGCCCCCAUUCUUUUCUGUGGGCCGGGCUCCGUGGUCAAACUACAUCUCCCAUCAUGCACCAUUUAGCUCCACCAGAAAGAAAUCAGUGUGUUGCCUUAUAGGAGAUAUAGUCCUCCUGGGAGUUUGGCCCACAGGAGAAAAUGUGGGCUGGAACUACAACUCCCACAGAGAAUUGCAGUUGAAUAUUUUAUGAAACUAAUUUAAAGAAGAUAUGUCAGGUCAAUUCAAAAAUGAAAUAUGCUGAUUGGGGUCAAAUUGACCUGAUAUGAAAUAUUUCAUUUUGAUUUUCCUGAAGGAAAAUCAUAUAUUUUUGGCAAAAUCAAAAUUUUCCCAUAGAAAAGGUCAAUUUUCUGGAAACUGCAUUUUCCUUUGGAAUAUCAUUCUUAUGGAAAAUUCCUGACCACAUCUAAUGGCAAGCUUUUUGACUUUGCCAUAGGCUAUCUUGGAACAUAGCUCACUGAGGAGUUGUGCUAUGAUUGGUAGACCUGCCCUUCCUUGUAGGGUUAGUGCUGAAACUCUCAGUAUUAUUUUCCUCUGGAUUUUCCACUGGAAGGUCUGUGUGUUUGCUGGAGGAUGAUACAGUACAGACCAACUGUCCUCCAGCUCAACCCACCCUCUGGACUGACAUGACACUCCCAAUAUAUAGAGCUACAACCAUACAAUGUUCAUGACUCUGAACUUCCACCACUGUUGCGUUUGUCUUAUUUGGCUAGUAUAUUCAGAAGAUUCAUUUCCUCUGUGCAAUGCAGCAAAGAGCUGAUAUGGUCUUAGUUUUAUGACAUCACACCCAUGAAUUACAACUUUUGAUCGAGGAGAAUAGUGCAAAAGAAGUAAUUCUAAAAUCCAUUUGCCCUCUGGACAUGGCUUCUCUUAUGAUUAUUCACACCAGCUUCAUCUUCUUUGAUUCCUAUCUGUCAGAUCAACAGCUGUGGUGGGGCCAAAUUAAGUUUUUUCCACCACUUUCUAUCUUGUAUCAGCUUCAUAGCUUCAUUCAUCUUUAAAUCUUUUUGUUCUUUUCAUUCUUCUCUGAAUCCAACGCAUCCCCAGUCUUCCUCUGUUUCUAAUUCCUUGCACUCUGGUAUGUAUUGUCAUGUAUGGUAUCCUUUCUGGGUCCAUUUAUGACACUCUGCUAUCUUCCUUGAAUCUUCCGUAAAAGUGUUAUUUGCUGCCCUAGCUGUUUUCUUAUCCCUUCUUUUUUAUUUUCUGCAGUCUUGAUACUCUCAGUAUUCCCUUCUGCCAGUUCAUUUCUGCAGUCAAAAUCUUUCGUUCAUUGCCUUUCUUCAUAGUCCAGCAUUUCAACCCAUACAGCAGUAUUGAUAUGAAUGUUGUCUCAAAUACGGUACACUGAUUCUUGUGUUUAUCAAAAUGUCUAUAGCCUUCCAGAUCUUGGCUAGCACCUAGUACGAUUCUUCUUUUCAUGUAAUCUUCACAAUUCCCAUUCUUUGAUAUUAGUCCUCCAAGGUACACACAAUUUUCCACUUGAUCUAGUUCUUUGCCUCCAAGUUUUAUCUUUUUGCCUCUUUCUCUUGUCUUCCAAUUUCCUUAAUUUUUGUCUUCUCCAUGCUAUUCUUCACUCCUAAUUUUCUGCUUUCCGAGUCUGCGAUAUCAAUUAUUCUCUGUAAAUCCUCCUUGGUCAAUGCUGUGACAUCAAUAUCAUCUGCAAAUCUAAGGUUAUGCAUUGUCCUACCACAUAGCGUGACUCCUCUCAUUUCAUCUCACAGUGCUGCAGACAUUAUUGCUUCCAGAACCAAGAUGAACAAAUGUGAUGAUAGUGUGCAUCCUUGUCUCACUUCUACAGUCCUGAACCAUUCUGUCAGCUUCUUUUCUACUCUUAUGGCACUCAUUGACUUGCUAUAGAUGUUUUCUAUCAGCUUGAUCAAUUUUGGGAGGAUACCAUAUGUUCUCAGAACUAGCCAUAACCCUUUCUGCCAAAUGCUAUCAAAAGCCUGUUUGAAGUCUGUAAGGUUGUAAUAGCUUUGGCUGUGUUCUGUGUACUUCUCUGAUAUCUGUCUUAUCACAAAUAAUUGAUCUUUAUAUUUCAUCCUGGUCUAAAUCCAGCCUGGUUUUGUGUCAAAGGAACACACCCAGAUUCAUUUUUAAUUCUUAUCUAAAAGCUUUAUGGUAGUCUUUCUUGCUCCUGAUCAAACUUUUAAAUGAAAACAAAUAUCUUUUAAAAAUAAUGCUGUUACCUCAUCUCAUUUGAGGUUGGGCCUCAACUUUGCUUCCAGCUGGGUGGAGGAUCUGUUUUAAUGGUGUGGCCUCAGCGAUUAAUAAACAUAGUUGGAUUCUCUUAUUAGUGGUACAUUUUCAGAAAUGAUUGAGUGGAACUGGUCAGCUGUUUCACCAGUAAACCACUCUGGAUAUCUAACUGAACAUCUUGAUUAUCUUUUGUCCUUAGUAAUAUAUUGGCUCCUUAAUGUCCCCUUUUUCUCUGCCAUCUUUGAAGGUCACUUUGGUAGGUAGAUGAUCCACACCGGAGGAAGCUGGAAAGGAGGAAGCUAAAGAACAGAUGAUGGACAUUGCAUUCUGAAUCUGACUGGUUGCAGCAUAAAGAAUUUUUGGAAUCUUGUGCCAGAGCAGUGAUAGAAGCAGAGAAAAGAUGAUUUUCCUCUGUCACAUCAGGCCUGAAGUUCCCAGAAAUUGAACUGUUCUGGGCGGCAGACAGUUUGGUGCAUCCGAACGGUCCCGCCUAAGACAGUGUCAGAUAUUUCUUGCUGCAAGGAGUUAUCAGUCUGCUUUAUGAACAGGAUGGCUUGGACUUGAGCCAGAUUUGCUUAUUCCAUGAAGACAGAUAUAUGCCACUUCUGAACUGAAUUCAGGCUGUUUUUCUUAUUGAGGUACUAGAGGUGGAUUUGGACCAAUGGAGCCUGGUUGGCUGGUAAAAUCAUGCAUGGGGAACUGAAGUGGACUUUUAGUAGACUGUUAACACCUCUUGGAAGCACAAUUGUAUCACUCAAAUUGUUGUUGACUAUGAUAAACUCAACAAUUAUUUUCUGUCUCUAUGGUCGUAGAUUGUUGAGUUUAUGGUGAAGCAGUGCUGGCACUUUCUUUACUUUUUAGAUUUCUUUUGACCCUUUGCAAUGUGGUUCUUCGCCGGGAUAUAGUGCACAGACUGUUGAUCUCAUUGGCCAAUUAACUCCUUUUUGGAACUGUACAAAGAUCAAGUGUCCACACUGAUUGUGUUAGAACCAUUAGCUGCCUUGGAUACUGUUGAAAAUGUGUUGUUGACACGUUUGUGGACUCUGGCAUGGAUACACAAGGUUGCUUUUAAUUGGUUCUAUUCGUUUCUCCCUUCAAGGACCUAGAGGUUUUGCCUUGAGGGCUCUGUUGUAAGGCAUUCCAUAGGCUGCUAGUGGGACAUAUAUCAGGUCACCAGCAGAGAUAGUGAGACAUUUUGGGCUGCAGUGCUGCCAGUAGGCUGAUAAAAGUCAACUGUGCAUCUGUUUUAGAUCCAGGAGGUAUAGACAUACCAGCAUUCCCAUAGUCUGUCUGAGCUAGAGGGUUGGAUGAUGAAAGUAAAAUGACUGACACUCAAUUCAGCUUGCAGUAGGUUGUGACAAUGGAGGUAAGGUUGAAGAACUUGAGGAGGAGGAUACUAAGGCCUGAAGUGGAAGAACCUCUUGCAUGAAGCUGCAAGCAGUUUUUCCAGCGACAUUUUGACAGACUCUUCUGCCUCAGUGACGACGUAAGAAAUAUCAAGGAAGGCAAAAUACAAUAUAAGCUCCUGAAAGCCUUGAGAUAGGUUUACAGCAUGGUAAGUAUUUAACCAUGUGACUCACUAAUAUCAAAGGGACAGUUUAAAAGUCACUUAUGGUCUGGAUUAUUUUUACCUGCUAUUGUUACAUGCAACAGCUAAGAUUAUUGUAAAUGAAAGAUAUUAGAGAAAAACACUUUUUUCUCUUGAUUUUUUAAGUCUGUUUACUUUUGUGCACUUGACAGCACUUUGGACAUAAUAUGAAGUGCAUUGAAGUCAUUUGGAGUUGACUCCAGAGGAUUUGGGACUAGGCCCUUUGGGUAGAGUCGAUUUCACUCUUUCCCCUUUAUUGUCAGUUGCUUUCCUGUAUUGUUUGUGUGGGUCUUUCACACAGCAGGGGAGAGAGAAACUCUUUAAAAAUAGGACAGUAGGAUUUGUAAAACCACAAUUGUCAGGGUGAUUCAGGGUAGUCCCUGAAACUGCUUUUAAGUUUGUUUGUUUUUAAAUGACUAUGUUCUGAGCUGACAGUGUCUCUUUGGUGUAAAUGAAGAGGGAGAGUUCUCCGAAAUGUGCACAGAUGGGUGUAUCAUGGCUAAAACCCUGCAUCUCAGACAUUGAGCAUAGUCCUACUAUUUUUCUAAGGGAGUUGGAGGAAUUAAUAUGAAAAGAACACAAACCAACAGUGUACAGUUAGAAGCAGUAUUCAGUUUUUGCUUGGGAAAAAGAGAGGGUGGGGUGGAAUAAGUUUAGGCAUUUUGUAUAUAAAAGUUAGCUCACCUCAGAUAAUGCUACCUGUACACUAGUGUUUGAGACUCGCCCUUUCCCUAGUAUAGUCUCAGUUCUGCAAAGACUUCUGUACAAGAGUGACUAAGGUACGCCCACUCUGCUCACUUCUUUUGGAGGAGUGUAGGGUACAUACAUGGGUAGACCCCCUACCACAGAUAUAAAGAGGAGUGUAGAUGGUGAGGCACUGCUUAGGUGAGUAGAGUAAAGAUGUGCCUGAAUCCUAUGGGGAUGUAUCCAGGUAUAUACCUUACAUGGCUCUCUAUUCGCCCAAGCAGUGCCUCCUUGUCUACUCUGCUAUUUUUAGCAGUCCCGCUGCUUCCCCAUUGCUGGAGCCCUUCCCCGCUGCCUCCCCGGUGGCAGAGCUUUUCACUGACACAUGUAGCUACACACUGUAGUGUGGAUGCAGCUUGCUUUUCACUGUGGCAUAUAGCUACACGUUGCCUGGAUGCCACCAAUGCUGAUAUGCUGUCGUGCGAGUAGUGCCACAGAGCUCAAUGGGAUCAGGGCUUAAAUGUCCAGAUUUUGGAAUAGGAAUGCAUAACUGAUUCUGAUCAAACCUUAGACAUCGAUCCUGCAACUUAUUUCAUGCUGGUGGGCCCCUGCACCUGUGCAAUGCUCCAUUGACUUCAUUUGGGCUCGGAGCAGGUGCAGGGGUCUGCCCACACUUAGAUGUGCUGAAGUAACAAAUAGAGGGAUCCACGUGCUCAGAAUCAGUUGCAGGAUCAGGAUCUAACCUUGAAUACAGGAAAGGGGAGACGUUUAAUGUGCACAUUCCUGAAGAAUUACUCUUCCUCUUCUCCAUCUCACCACAUAAUAUUGAAUCCAUUGUACCCCUCCUCCUCAGACACCCCAAAAUGAUCUGCAUCCGUCAGUUUUGUUUCCACAUAUAAGUGGAACAAAUUCUUGCAAUUUCUUCACGUAUAUAUCACUCCCUCUUUUGCUGUUGCUCUGUUUGAGUAAAGGGAUUGAGAGUCACAGCAGUGACUCAAGCCAAAUUAGAAAUAGCACUAUUCUUACAGGACCAAAAAUGAUAGGUAAUCUUUGGUAUUGUCCUCACAGUAUAUUGUACUCUUUAUUCUUGUGUUUCUCCACUGACCUCUUCAUCCUAACUUCACAUUAAAAAAGAUAUUUAAA